GACGAACGCUGGCGGCGUGCUUAACACAUGCAAGUCGAACGGAAAGGCCCUGCUUUUGUGGGGUGCUCGAGUGGCGAACGGGUGAGUAACACGUGAGUAACCUGCCCUUGACUUUGGGAUAACUUCAGGAAACUGGGGCUAAUACCGGAUAUGAGCUCCUGCUGCAUGGUGUGGGUUGGAAAGUUUCGGCGGUUGGGGAUGGACUCGCGGCUUAUCAGCUUGUUGGUGGGGUAGUGGCUUACCAAGGCUUUGACGGGUAGCCGGCCUGAGAGGGUGAACGGCCACAAUGGGACUGAGGUACGGACCAGAAUCCUACGGGAGGCAGCAGUGGGGAAUAUUGCACAAUGGGCGGAAGUGUGAUGCAGCAACGCCGCGUGCGGGAUGACGGCCUUCGGGUUGUAAACCGCUUUCGCAGGUGACGAAGAGUGAGUGACGGUAAUGGGUAAAGAAGCACCGGCUAACUACGUG
RNAcentral lists this ribosomal RNA (468 nucleotides) under uncultured bacterium. Its description in RNAcentral is "partial 16S ribosomal RNA". It matches the Rfam family "Bacterial small subunit ribosomal RNA", at positions 28 to 507 of the family's 1533-position model. The record is from RNAcentral.